GAUGAACGCUGGCGGCGUGCUUAACACAUGCAAGUCGAACGAUGAAGCCCAGCUUGCUGGGUGGAUUAGUGGCGAACGGGUGAGUAACACGUGAGUAACCUGCCCUUGACUCUGGGAUAAGCCUGGGAAACUGGGUCUAAUACUGGAUAUGACUUCUCAUCGCAUGGUGGGGGUGGAAAGAUUUAUUGGUCUUGGAUGGACUCGCGGCCUAUCAGCUUGUUGGUGAGGUAAUGGCUCACCAAGGCGACGACGGGUAGCCGGCCUGAGAGGGUGACCGGCCACACUGGGACUGAGACACGGCCCAGACUCCUACGGGAGGCAGCAGUGGGGAAUAUUGCACAAUGGGCGCAAGCCUGAUGCAGCGACGCCGCGUGAGGGAUGACGGCCUUCGGGUUGUAAACCUCUUUCAGUAGGGAAGAAGCGAGAGUGACGGUACCUGCAGAAGAAGCGCCGGCUAACUACGUG
This 465-nucleotide ribosomal RNA is filed under the name uncultured bacterium. RNAcentral describes it as "partial 16S ribosomal RNA". It matches the Rfam family "Bacterial small subunit ribosomal RNA", at positions 28 to 507 of the family's 1533-position model. The record is from RNAcentral.